RNAcentral lists this long non-coding RNA (478 nucleotides) under Fukomys damarensis (Damara mole-rat). Its description in RNAcentral is "lncRNA (ENSFDAG00000027084.1)". Lineage: Eukaryota; Metazoa; Chordata; Mammalia; Rodentia; Bathyergidae. The record is from RNAcentral.
CAGAGGGGCAGGACUGGAGCUCCCAGAAACCCCUGAGGAGGCUGCUGUACACAUACAGGCAGCAGGGGACCAGGGUGGCCAGAGGAGGAUGGUGGCAGGAAAGAUGGAGAGGAGGGUUUGGAAGCCCAGGGGCCACACUCCACUCGGAGAUUGACUGAGUUUAGACAAACUGAGGGAGGAGUGUGGACAGACGCCCAGCUGGGCAGCACCUCCCAAAGUUUCCAUCGCCACCAUCUGGGGACCCCGCCUUUGAGGACCGUUAAGAUCCAGAGCAUAACAACCCCUGGAGUUCAUAUGGUGAAACGGAACCGAGGUGAUGGUACGAGGAGAGCGGGUAUUUGGGAGGUGAUCAGAUCGUGUGGGCAGAACCCUCACUGAUGGGAUUAAGGCCCUUAUGAAGGAGGCUCUAGAGAGCUGCCCCGCCCCUUCCACCGUGUGAGAUCACGCUGAGAAGGUUCGUCUGUGACCUAGAGAGCAG